RNAcentral lists this ribosomal RNA (468 nucleotides) under uncultured bacterium. RNAcentral describes it as "partial 16S ribosomal RNA". It matches the Rfam family "Bacterial small subunit ribosomal RNA", at positions 28 to 507 of the family's 1533-position model. The record is from RNAcentral.
GACGAACGCUGGCGGCGGGCUUAACACAUGCAAGUCGAACGGAAAGGCCCUGCUUGUGUGGGGUGCUCGAGUGGCGAACGGGUGAGUAACACGGGAGUAACCUGCCCUUGACUUUGGGAUAACUUCAGGAAACUGGGGCUAAUACCGGAUAGGAGCUCCUGCUGCAUGGUGGGGGUUGGAAAGUUUCGGCGGUUGGGGAUGGACUCGCGGCUUAUCAGCUUGUUGGUGGGGUAGUGGCUUACCAAGGCUUUGACGGGUAGCCGGCCUGAGAGGGUGACCGGCCACAUUGGGACUGAGAUACGGCCCAGACUCCUACGGGAGGCAGCAGUGGGAAAUAUUGCACAAUGGGCGGAAGCCUGAUGAAGAAACGCCGCGUGCGGGAUGACGGCCUUCGGGUUGUAAACCGCUUUCGCCUGUGACGAAGCGUGAGUGACGGUAAUGGGUAAAGAAGCACCGGCUAACUACGUG